This 491-nucleotide ribosomal RNA is filed under the name uncultured bacterium. RNAcentral's name for it is "partial 16S ribosomal RNA". It matches the Rfam family "Bacterial small subunit ribosomal RNA", at positions 29 to 507 of the family's 1533-position model. The record is from RNAcentral.
AGUGAACGCUGGCGGUAGGCCUAACACAUGCAAGUCGAACGGCAGCACAGUAAGAGCUUGCUCUUACGGGUGGCGAGUGGCGGACGGGUGAGGAAUACAUCGGAAUCUACUUUUCGUGGGGGAUAACGUAGGGAAACUUACGCUAAUACCGCAUACGACCUGCGGGUGAAAGCAGGGGAUCUUCGGACCUUGCGCGAUUGAAUGAGCCGAUGUCGGAUUAGCUAGUUGGCGGGGUAAAGGCCCACCAAGGCGACGAUCCGUAGCUGGUCUGAGAGGAUGAUCAGCCACACUGGAACUGAGACACGGUCCAGACUCCUACGGGAGGCAGCAGUGGGGAAUAUUGGACAAUGGGCGCAAGCCUGAUCCAGCCAUACCGCGUGGGUGAAGAAGGCCUUCGGGUUGUAAAGCCCUUUUGUUGGGAAAGAAAAGCAGCAGGUUAAUACCCCGCUGUUCUGACGGUACCCAAAGAAUAAGCACCGGCUAACUUCGUG